UACCUGCAGCCCGAGUGGUGGCCGUUAUUAUUGGGCGUAAAAGGCUUGUAGGUGGCCACGUCAAGUCGGCUGUGAAAUCUCCCGGCUCAACUGGGAGGGUGCGCUACAAACUGCCGGGCUAGAGUGCGGGAGAGGAGAGUGGAAUUCCUGGUGUAGCGGUGAAAUGCGUAGAUAUCAGGAGGAACACCGGUGGUGUAAACGGCUCUCUGGACCGUAACUGACGCUGAGGCACGAAAGCGUGGGUAGCAAACAGG
This 254-nucleotide ribosomal RNA is filed under the name uncultured bacterium. RNAcentral's name for it is "partial 16S ribosomal RNA". It matches the Rfam family "Bacterial small subunit ribosomal RNA", at positions 524 to 776 of the family's 1533-position model. The record is from RNAcentral.